ACAAGUGGACCAAGUUUACAAGAAGAGAAAAAAGUACUAGUACUAAUCAUACUACAAAUACCCCUUCUCCAUUUUCGUACGGGCGUUACGAGCAAGCCAACACGAAGAACAAUAUAUGCUACUGGUGGAGAGUUAUACCUGGAUACGUACACCGCGUUGAUAUGUACAUGAUAAUGUCAUUCGACAUGAAAAACCAAUCCUUCGAAUUUGUAAAGGUAAGCUCACGAGACAAGCUUAUAGGUCCACGUACCUCCAUUCGAUCUCUA
Molecule: long non-coding RNA, 266 nt
Filed under: Linum usitatissimum (flax)
Lineage: Eukaryota; Viridiplantae; Streptophyta; Magnoliopsida; Malpighiales; Linaceae
Description: long non-coding RNA (LUSI_LNC000965)
Source: RNAcentral